This is a long non-coding RNA of Mauremys mutica (yellowpond turtle), 432 nucleotides long. RefSeq lists it as uncharacterized. NCBI's taxonomy places the organism in Eukaryota, Metazoa, Chordata, Testudines, Geoemydidae. The transcript has 3 exons. The record is from RefSeq and is a predicted model, not a curated record.
UCAGUGGAUGAGCCCGUGAGAACCCAGGAGUCCUGACUCCCAGCCCAGGGAUUAGGAACCAGGAUUGCCAGGCCUGGUGCUUCCUGCUGAGAGAAAAACGGACGUGACUUUGCCUGGUAUCAGCCCGGGGACACCAUCCAGAAAGGAGCCCAGGGAAGCUGCUGCUGCAAGUCUGACGCCCCGAACCCGCAGGGCCGAGCUAGCGACAGAUUCAAGGAAUCCAGCCCCCCGCUGGCACCCGACUGCACUCAGUUCCUCGCAGGACGUGGCCCUAAUCCCGGGCACUGAGCCCUUCAAAGAUCCCUGCCCGCAGGCUCCAUGUCUAGUUGGCAGCCGGUUUCAAGUGGAGAGCCCCAAGGGUCAGUCCUGGGGGCGGUUUUGUUCAAUAUCUUCAUUAAUGAUCUGGAUGAUGGGGUGGACUGCACCCUCAGC